GGUGGCAGGCAGAGAGACUGUAGUCCAAAGCCCCUUCUGACCUAGACACCUCUAGGGGUUCAAACAAAGUCCUCUCACUUUGCCAAGUGCUGCCUCAGAGACCUGGAGUCUCCUNCUCCAGAGACAAAUCAAGAAACACCCUUCUUCACCCAACCGACCAUCGUCAACCACCNUCCGCGACCUCGUCAGCAACGAUGCUCAUUGCCGGAGCCACCAAGNCGAAGUCGUCGCCAAAUGGCACCGAUCACCGCCGCGACCUCUGCCGGUCACUCCUCUCCUUCUUCUCUUUUCGAUUUCUUUCUCUCAUGCGAAAGUAACUCCCUGCCAACAACCAUCGUCNCAUGCUUCCCCUCAGACCAGAGUCUUUGUUGGCGAAGCGGGUCACCGCCACUCUUCCNGGUUGGCCAAGAACAUUGUCGGCGACAACACCAUCAUCGAAAACGCCAUCNCCCUCUACUACCCUUUUCUGUUUUCCNUCCGCAUCGGAC
Molecule: long non-coding RNA, 488 nt
Filed under: Vigna radiata
Lineage: Eukaryota; Viridiplantae; Streptophyta; Magnoliopsida; Fabales; Fabaceae
Description: long non-coding RNA (VRAD_LNC010089)
Source: RNAcentral